CAACCUACAUAGGUUUCAAAGUAAUCCAAAGUCCAAAACUCUCUCAGCCACGUGCAUACUUUAAAGCGGUUAUUGCAUGAUUCAACAGUUGACUCGUAUGAAGGUAGGUGAAUCUUUCUUCUGCACGAAAGAUACAAUCCUUGCACUUUAGCUAAUGGGUUAGCCCCUAUUUAUGUAUAACUUAAAAUUCACUUAGCCUAA
Molecule: long non-coding RNA, 201 nt
Filed under: Elaeis guineensis (African oil palm)
Lineage: Eukaryota; Viridiplantae; Streptophyta; Magnoliopsida; Arecales; Arecaceae
Description: long non-coding RNA (EGUI_LNC006488)
Source: RNAcentral